GUGCUCCCUUCAGCAGCAGAUAUACUGAAACUGGAAUGAUACAGAGCAGAUUAGCAUGGCUCCUGCGCAAGGAUGACAUGCAAAUUCAUGAAGCGUACCAUAUUUAA
This 107-nucleotide small nuclear RNA is filed under the name Catagonus wagneri (Chacoan peccary). The record is from RNAcentral. Lineage: Eukaryota; Metazoa; Chordata; Mammalia; Artiodactyla; Tayassuidae.